GCCGCGGUGGUUCAGUGGUAGAAUACUCGCCUGCCACGCGGGUGGCCCGGGUUCGAUUCCCGGUCGACGCA
This 71-nucleotide transfer RNA is filed under the name Dermacentor silvarum. Its description in RNAcentral is "transfer RNA glycine (anticodon GCC)". It matches the Rfam family "tRNA". Rfam says of the family: Transfer RNA (tRNA) molecules are approximately 80 nucleotides in length. Their secondary structure includes four short double-helical elements and three loops (D, anti-codon, and T loops). Lineage: Eukaryota; Metazoa; Arthropoda; Arachnida; Ixodida; Ixodidae. The record is from RNAcentral.